CCUACGGGAGGUAGCAGUGAGGAAUAUUGGUCAAUGGGCGAGAGCCUGAACCAGCCAAGUCGCGUGAAGGAUGACGGCCCUACGGGUUGUAAACUUCUUUUGUCAGGGAGCAAUUGAGUCCACGUGUGGGCUUAGCGAGAGUACCUGAAGAAAAAGCAUCGGCUAACUCCGUGCCAGCAGCCGCGGUAAUACGGAGGAUGCGAGCGUUAUCCGGAUUUAUUGGGUUUAAAGGGUGCGUAGGCGGAAUAUCAAGUCAGCGGUAAAAAUUCGGGGCUCAACCCCGUCGUGCCGUUGAAACUGAUGUUCUGGAGUGGGCGAGAAGUAUGCGGAAUGCGUGGUGUAGCGGUGAAAUGCAUAGAUAUCACGCAGAACUCCGAUUGCGAAGGCAGCAUACCGGAGCGCAACUGACGCUGAAGCACGAAAGCGUGGGUAUCGAACAGGAUUAGAUACCCCAGUAGUC
This 460-nucleotide ribosomal RNA is filed under the name uncultured bacterium. RNAcentral's name for it is "partial 16S ribosomal RNA". It matches the Rfam family "Bacterial small subunit ribosomal RNA", at positions 338 to 795 of the family's 1533-position model. The record is from RNAcentral.